CCUACGGGCGGCAGCAGUAGGGAAUCUUCCACAAUGGACGAAAGUCUGAUGGAGCAACGCCGCGUGAGUGAAGAAGGGUUUCGGCUCGUACAGCUCUGUUGGUAGUGAAGAAAGAUAGAGGUAGUAACUGGCCUUUAUUUGACGGUAAUUACUUAGAAAGUCACGGCUAACUCCGUGCCAGCAGCCGCGGUAAUACGUAGGUGGCAAGCGUUGUCCGGAUUUAUUGGGCGUAACGCGAGUGCAGGCGGUUCAAUAAGUCUGAUGUGAAAGCCUUCGGCUCAACCGGAGAAUUGCAUCAGAAACGGUUGAACGUGAGUGCAGAAGAGGAGAGUGGAACUCCAUGUGUAGCGGUGGAAUGCGUAGAUAUAUGGAAGAACACCAGUGGCGAAGGCGGCUCUCUGGUCUGCAACUGACGCUGAGGCUCGAAAGCAUGGGUAGCGAACAGGAUUAGAUACCCUGGUAGUC
RNAcentral lists this ribosomal RNA (465 nucleotides) under uncultured bacterium. Its description in RNAcentral is "partial 16S ribosomal RNA". It matches the Rfam family "Bacterial small subunit ribosomal RNA", at positions 338 to 795 of the family's 1533-position model. The record is from RNAcentral.